CAUCAGCUAGUCUCAGGGUCCCUUCAUCUGACCCUCCCUUUUCUGCUGGAAGGUGGAACCUUCUACCAAAAUAAAGGAGAUGAGUCACCCAGGAAUGGACACAAGGACUCCAAGCUGGAAAAGCCGAGAUGUGUUCAGUGACAGAGAAAUCAAUGACUUGAGCAAGUAACAGAGAGCUGGAAGUAGGAAAGGAAAAGCUGCAAUAAAAUUGAGAGUUCGGGCACAGUC
Ornithorhynchus anatinus (platypus) is the source of this 228-nucleotide long non-coding RNA. RefSeq lists it as uncharacterized. NCBI's taxonomy places the organism in Eukaryota, Metazoa, Chordata, Mammalia, Monotremata, Ornithorhynchidae. The transcript has 2 exons. The record is from RefSeq and is a predicted model, not a curated record.